Molecule: ribosomal RNA, 253 nt
Filed under: uncultured bacterium
Lineage: Bacteria
Description: partial 16S ribosomal RNA
Rfam family: Bacterial small subunit ribosomal RNA
Source: RNAcentral
UACAGAGGUCUCAAGCGUUGUUCGGAUUCAUUGGGCGUAAAGGGUGCGUAGGCGGCGCGGUAAGUCGGGUGUGAAAUCUCGGAGCUUAACUCCGAAACUGCAUUCGAUACUGCCGUGCUUGAGGACUGGAGAGGAGACUGGAAUUUACGGUGUAGCGGUGAAAUGCGUAGAUAUCGUAAGGAAGACCAGUGGCGAAGGCGGGGUCUCUGGACAGUUCCUGACGUGAGGCACGAAGGCCAGGGGAGCAAACGGG